GAGGGAGUGUGGUGAUGUAGUGUCCACAACUAAAGAAGUGGGGAGUGUGGUGAUGUAGUGUCCACAACUAAAGAAAAGAGGGAGUGUGGUGAUGUAGUGUCCACAACUAAAGAAGAGAGGGAGUGUGGUGAUGUAGUGUCCACAACUAAAGAAGAGAGGGAGUGUGGUGAUGUAGUGUCCACAACUAAAGAAGAGAGGGAGUGUGGUGAUGUAGUGUCCACAACUAAAGAAGAGAGGGAGUGUGGUGAUGUAGUGUCCACAACUAAAGAAGAGAGGGAGUGUGGUGAUGUAGUGUCCACAACUAAAGAAGAGAGGGAGUGUGGUGAUGUAGUGUCCACAACUAAAGAAGAGAGGGAGUGUGGUGAUGUAGUGUCCACAACUAAAGAAGAGAGGGAGUGUGGUGAUGUAGUGUCCACAACUAAAGAAGAGAGGGAGUGUGGUGAUGUAGUGUCCACAACUAAAGAAGAGAGGGAGUGUGGUGAUGUAGUGUCCACAACUAAAGAAGAGAGGGAGUGUGGUGAUGUAGUGUCCACAACUAAAGAAGAGAGGGGAGUGUGGUGAUGUAG
Molecule: long non-coding RNA, 566 nt
Organism: Oncorhynchus keta (chum salmon)
Lineage: Eukaryota; Metazoa; Chordata; Actinopteri; Salmoniformes; Salmonidae
Exons: 3
Source: RefSeq, a predicted model, not a curated record